Molecule: small RNA, 27 nt
Filed under: Bombyx mori (domestic silkworm)
Lineage: Eukaryota; Metazoa; Arthropoda; Insecta; Lepidoptera; Bombycidae
Description: ovarian small RNA-11781
Source: RNAcentral
AGAAGGCUGUUUUGGGUGCAUCUUCUG